AGUCAAGCAGUAAGGCCUUUCGGGGUACACGAGCGGCGAACGGGUGAGUAACACGUGGGUGAUCUGCCCUGCACUUCGGGAUAAGCCUGGGAAACUGGGUCUAAUACCGGAUAUGACCUCCUAUCGCAUGGUGGGUGGUGGAAAGAUUUAUCGGUGCAGGAUGGGCCCGCGGCCUAUCAGCUUGUUGGCGAGGUAACGGCUCACCAAGGCUACGACGGGUAGCUGGUCUGAGAGGAUGGCCAGCCACAUUGGGACUGAGAAACGGCCCAGACUCCUACGGGAGGCAGCAGUGGGGAAUCUUGCGCAAUGGCCUAACGGCUGACGCAGCGACGCCGCGUGAGGGAUGAAGCUCCUCGGAGUGUAAACCUCUGUUGCCCGGGACGAAUAGCGGAUUUUUCCGACUUGACGGUACCGGGUGAGGAAGCACCGGCUAACUCCGUGCCAGCAGCCGCGGUAAUACGGGGGGUGCGAGCGUUGUCCGGAAUCACUGGGCGUAAAGGGCGCGUAGGUGGCUUUGUAAGUUUGCGGUGAAAGCCCGGGGCUCAACCCCGGGUCUGCCGUGAAUACUGCAAGGCUUGGGUACUGUAGAGGCAGGUAGAAUAUCGGGUGUAGCGGUGGAAUGCGUAGAGAUCCGAUAGAAGACCGGUGGCGAAGGCGGCCUGCUGGGCAGUAACUGACACUGAGGCGCGACAGCGUGGGGAGCAAACAGGAUUAGAUACCCUGGUAGUCCACGCCGUAAACGAUGGGUACUAGGUGCUUCGGGGAGCGACCCCUGGAGUGCCGGCGCUAACGCAGGAAGUACCCCGCCUGGGGAGUACGGCCGCAAGGCUGAAACUCAAAGGAAUUGACGG
This 851-nucleotide ribosomal RNA is filed under the name uncultured bacterium. RNAcentral describes it as "bacterial SSU rRNA". It matches the Rfam family "Bacterial small subunit ribosomal RNA", at positions 60 to 916 of the family's 1533-position model. The record is from RNAcentral.